RNAcentral lists this microRNA (22 nucleotides) under Mus musculus (house mouse). Its description in RNAcentral is "mmu-miR-1948-3p". Lineage: Eukaryota; Metazoa; Chordata; Mammalia; Rodentia; Muridae. The record is from miRBase by way of RNAcentral.
UUUAGGCAGAGCACUCGUACAG